This 72-nucleotide transfer RNA is filed under the name Saccoglossus kowalevskii. Its description in RNAcentral is "tRNA-Ala". It matches the Rfam family "tRNA". From Rfam's summary of the family: Transfer RNA (tRNA) molecules are approximately 80 nucleotides in length. Their secondary structure includes four short double-helical elements and three loops (D, anti-codon, and T loops). Further hydrogen bonds mediate the characteristic L-shaped molecular structure. tRNAs have two regions of fundamental functional importance: the anti-codon, which is responsible for specific mRNA codon recognition, and the 3' end, to which the tRNAs corresponding amino acid is attached (by aminoacyl-tRNA synthetases). tRNAs cope with the degeneracy of the genetic code in two manners: having more than one tRNA (with a specific anti-codon) for a particular amino acid; and 'wobble' base-pairing, i.e. permitting non-standard base-pairing at the 3rd anti-codon position. The record is from RNAcentral. Lineage: Eukaryota; Metazoa; Hemichordata; Enteropneusta; Harrimaniidae.
GGGGAUGUAGCUCAGUGGUAGAGCGCAUGCUUUGCAUGUAUGAGGCCCCGGGUUCGAAACCCGCCAUCUCCA